UGACCUCGGAUCAGGUAGGGAUACCCCGC
RNAcentral lists this ribosomal RNA (29 nucleotides) under fungal sp. 5.44.3C. Its description in RNAcentral is "partial 28S ribosomal RNA". The record is from RNAcentral. Lineage: Eukaryota; Fungi.